AUCUAAUGCAUGCAGGGCUUAAAACCUAGAUGAUGGGUUGAUGGAUGCAGCAAAGCACCAUGGCACAUGGCACUAUGUAACAAACCUGCACGUUCUGCACAUGUAUCCCAGAACUUAAAAUAAUAAUAAUAAAAAAGAAUAGCCCGUUUGAUGCAGAUCCCUGGGUGCCAGACCAGAGGUUUAUGAUCCAGCAUGUCUUGGGUUCAGGCCAGGAACCUGAAUCUUCAACAAGCUCCCCCGGUGAAGCUGAUGCAGAUUGUCGAAGGAACACAAACGCUGUGCUGAAGUGUUCCCAGAGGGUGAAUCACAAACCAUCUUCCUGAGUGACCUGACAGUGACUGAGUCAGAUGAGCCAGGGCACUGAGUCCUCCUUCGGAGAGGAUUGGGUCCAGCACACCCAGCCCCCUCUUUCCCACCAUGCUGGAGGGAUAGAAUGAUCAUUUUUGCACACUACGUAGGGCACAGCCUCCUCGCUAGGAAAAGUGGUUCUCUUUUCCUCCUCUUUUUGGUGAAGAGGGAAAUAUGUUAGCCUCCGGGACGGAUCAGACAGCUUGGGAAGAAGGGUUGUCAGCUGAGCAGAGAAAGUGCAGCAUUUCACAAACCUGUGACAGUUUCUCUCAAGUUUUACUUGGUGAUGCUUCUCUGCAGGGGAGUUUAACUUUCUUCCUCAAAAGGUUUUGCAAAAUAUUGAGAAAACAUGUCUUUGAAGAUUUAAUGCUAUAAACUUGGCAUCUCUGAAUAAAGACUUCAGUACCUCUUCCUGCCCAAGGUCACUUUUCAGCCCAAGGUGGACCUAUUUAAAUACAUCUACAGCACCUAGCACACAAAAGAAUCAAGGUAAGUGCUCCUGUGCAAUUAGUUCACCUUUCCAGUUGCUAACAUUCUCUAAUUUGUUAAACAUGAUGACUCUCUCUUCAAUGAUUAAUGCUAGAGACAUAAUACCAAUUCUUUGAUUCUUCUUUUGCAAUUUAGUAUUGACCAAAACUUUUCAAUGCUUAUUUUUAUACCAUGUAUAGAGUUUCCAAGAUACAGCUUGUCUCAUGUGUUGCAUUUUAUUAUCUCAUUGUUUUCUUAGAAAAGACUUGCACAUGAAUUGUACUUAGAACUUCCAUAAUUUACAAUGUAGCGUGUAUAUUCUAUAGAGAACUUCUAUAGAUAAUUAACCCCACCUUGUGUUCUCUCCCUCCCCUUCCUUCCUUUCUUCUUCCAUCAGUUCUCUAGCUUUCAUUUUAGGAGUGGCACUAGAAUUCUGUCUCAGAUUUGCAGAAUGGGGUGGGCUGGGAUUAAAGCUGUUUUAGUUUCAGAACCCGUAUCCCUCUAUAAACUAGAAAAUUGGCAAAAUUAUAAACACUGUUAUACUUUUUAUUAAUAAUGAUACCUUCCUGGGUAAACUAGCGCACAUACUGAACUACAGAAGUAGAAAAUUCUACUGGAAUUUUAGCUAUCAUUUGCAUUAAUUGUUAAGGAUUAUUUAUAGAUUCUUCAAAGCAAAAUAAAACAGACUUUCCAAAAUUUGCCUGCAGAGCAAUGGACAUAAAACAUGAAUUCAAAUAAUUCACCACCUCUGGGCCAAGCUUCUGCAGAGCCAGUAUGUAGAUGGUCACUCCAAUGAACACUCUGGUUACUUAUUGAAAUCAAGAAUCUUUUCUGUUCUAUCAGGGAAUGCAGUACCAAAUCCAAGGUUAGCACUGGACCUCAUUUUGGGGGUAGAGGUUAAGUAAUGCAAAGCACCCACAGAAUGGCCAGAGGCCAAGGGCAGGGCUUGUGACUCCAGAACACGCUAGCAUCAGCACAAGGUGAGAUUAAGUUUUUAAAGGGCCAUUAAAAGUAUUAAUUAUUAAAAGUGGUAAAAGUGGGGAAAUAUAAAGAGAAGUUUCAAGGAUGACCAGUGAAAAUCCUGUUUUAAAGGACUUGCUGAGCAAACAGCCUAUCUUGGAAAGAAGGUGUAGGAAAAGUUAAAAGAAACACAUUUGAGACUUUUUGUGAAAGUGUUUAACUGUUUGUUUCUAAAAUGGUAACAUUAAAAAUGGCUGAAUCUUGACUUGAAUGACUUUUUUUAUUUUUAUUUUUUGAGAUGGAGUCUUGCUGUCCCCCAGGCUGGAGUGCCAUGGCAUGAUCUUGGCUCACUGCAACCUCUGCCUCCCGAGUUCAAGCGAUUCUCCUGCCUCAGCCUCCCCAGUGGCUGGGAUUACAGGCACAUGCCACCAUGUCCAGCUAAUUUUUUGUAUUUUUCUUAGAGACAGGGUUUCACCAUGUUGGCCAGGCUGUUCUUGAACUCCUGACCUCAAGUGAUCCACCUGCCUCAGCCUCCCAAAGUGCUGGGAUUAUAGGCGUGAGCUACUGUGCCUGGCCAACCUGAAUGACUUUUAACAAGAAGAAUAAACAUAUGCAAAUAAAAUGUCUGGAAGGGCAUACACCAAAAUAGUAAUUGUAGUUGGUCCCUGAGAGGUAAUACUAUUGCAUUUUUUUUUUUUUUUUUUUUUUUGGAAACAGAGUUUCACUGUGUUGCUUAGGCUGGAGUGCAGCAGCACGAUCUCAGCUCACUGCAACCUCCGCCUCCCAGGUUCAAGCGAUUCUUCUGCCUCAGCCUCCUAAGUAGCUGAGAUUUCAGGCACCCACCAUCACACCCGGCUAAUUUUUUAUGUUUUUAGUAGAGACAGGGUUUUGCCAUAUUGCCCACGCUGGUCUCGAACUCCUGAGCUCAGGCAAUCCACCCUCCUUGGCCUCCCAAAGUGCUAGGAUUACAGGCGUGAGGCACCGCGCCCAGCCAAUCUUUUUCUUUAUACAUUUUUGUAUUGCCUAUUUUUUCUCCAUAAGCACACAC
Molecule: long non-coding RNA, 2824 nt
Organism: Macaca mulatta (Rhesus monkey)
Lineage: Eukaryota; Metazoa; Chordata; Mammalia; Primates; Cercopithecidae
Source: Ensembl